UUUCUCCCACAGGGAGAGGAGCCAGGCAU
RNAcentral lists this small RNA (29 nucleotides) under Bombyx mori (domestic silkworm). Its description in RNAcentral is "ovarian small RNA-38351". Lineage: Eukaryota; Metazoa; Arthropoda; Insecta; Lepidoptera; Bombycidae. The record is from RNAcentral.